ANCCGCUCAGGACGAACGCUGGCGGCGUGCCUAAUACAUGCAAGUCGAGCGGACAGAAGGGAGCUUGCUCCCGGAUGUUAGCGGCGGACGGGUGAGUAACACGUGGGUAACCUGCCUGUAAGACUGGGAUAACUCCGGGAAACCGGAGCUAAUACCGGAUAGUUCCUUGAACCGCAUGGUUCAAGGAUGAAAGACGGUUUCGGCUGUCACUUACAGAUGGACCCGCGGCGCAUUAGCUAGUUGGUGGGGUAAUGGCUCACCAAGGCGACGAUGCGUAGCCGACCUGAGAGGGUGAUCGGCCACACUGGGACUGAGACACGGCCCAGACUCCUACGGGAGGCAGCAGUAGGGAAUCUUCCGCAAUGGACGAAAGUCUGACGGAGCAACGCCGCGUGAGUGAUGAAGGUUUUCGGAUCGUAAAGCUCUGUUGUUAGGGAAGAACAAGUGCGAGAGUAACUGCUCGCACCUUGACGGUACCUAACCAGAAAGCCACGGCUAACUACGUGCCAGCAGCCGCGGUAAUACGUAGGUGGCAAGCGUUGUCCGGAAUUAUUGGGCGUAAAGGGCUCGCAGGCGGUUUCUUAAGUCUGAUGUGAAAGCCCCCGGCUCAACCGGGGAGGGUCAUUGGAAACUGGGAAACUUGAGUGCAGAAGAGGAGAGUGGAAUUCCACGUGUAGCGGUGAAAUGAAGUAGGAGAUGUGGAGGAACACCCCAGUGGCGAAGGCGACUCUCUGGU
Molecule: ribosomal RNA, 736 nt
Filed under: bacterium EAB-2EM31.10
Lineage: Bacteria
Description: bacterial SSU rRNA
Rfam family: Bacterial small subunit ribosomal RNA
Source: RNAcentral